ACUCAAAUGAAUUGACGGGGGCCCGCACAAGCGGUGGAGUAUGUGGUUUAAUUCGAUGCAACGCGAAGAACCUUACCUACUCUUGACAUGGUGGGAAUCUUACAGAGAUGUAGGAGUGCCGAAAGGAACCCACACACAGGUGCUGCAUGGCUGUCGUCAGCUCGUGUCGUGAGAUGUUGGGUUAAGUCCCGCAACGAGCGCAACCCUUGCCCUUAGUUACCAUCAUUAAGUUGGGGACUCUAGGGGGACUGCUGAUCUAUGAUCGGAGGAAGGGGGGGAUGACGUCAAGUCAUCAUGGCCCUUACGAGUAGGGCUACACACGUACUACAAUGGUUGUUACAGAGGGAAGCGAAGCUGCGAGGUGGAGCGAAUCCCAGAAAAGCAAUCGUAGUCCGGAUUGCAGUCUGCAACUCGACUGCAUGAAGCCGGAAUCGCUAGUAAUCGCGGAUCAGAAUGCCGCGGUGAAUACGUUCCCGGGCCUUGCACACACCGCCCGU
RNAcentral lists this ribosomal RNA (497 nucleotides) under uncultured bacterium. RNAcentral's name for it is "partial 16S ribosomal RNA". It matches the Rfam family "Bacterial small subunit ribosomal RNA", at positions 899 to 1397 of the family's 1533-position model. The record is from RNAcentral.